This 519-nucleotide ribosomal RNA is filed under the name Triticum aestivum (bread wheat). Its description in RNAcentral is "partial small subunit ribosomal RNA". The record is from RNAcentral. Lineage: Eukaryota; Viridiplantae; Streptophyta; Magnoliopsida; Poales; Poaceae.
GCAUCCUCGGCUUACAAGGCUCAAUUUGAAGGCCUCACCACCUCGGACCUUGUCCAUUCAGUGUGGACGAUGUGGGCUCCCCCUCGGUGCAAGUUUUUUGCUUGGCUCAUUCUUCAAGAUAGGAUUUGGACUUUGGACUGCUUGAGCCGCCGUGGUUGGCCUAAUUGCGGUCUAUGCCCUCUUUGCAAGCAAACCCUAGAAACUGCGGCUCAUCUGCUCUACCAGUGCCGCUACACCAUGCGCAUUUGGAAUGACGUCCUCCCAUGGCUCGGCAUGCAUCACAUCACCACGUCUACUUGGGUGACAAGGGCUUCGGUCAGAGAAUGGUGGAAUGCCAAUCUGCAGAUCCGUCUUGGCUCGCCCAAGGCGCUCGCCUCCCUCAUGAUGCUCAUCUCUUGGGAGGUUUGGUUGGAGCGCAAUGCUAGAGUCUUCCGCAACUCAGCGGCCCCUUCCAUGACCAUCAUCAACAAAAUCAAGCAGGAGGUAUCGCUUUGGGUUUGGCUGGAGCGAAACACUUGA